Molecule: ribosomal RNA, 309 nt
Filed under: Triticum aestivum (bread wheat)
Lineage: Eukaryota; Viridiplantae; Streptophyta; Magnoliopsida; Poales; Poaceae
Description: partial small subunit ribosomal RNA
Source: RNAcentral
AUGGCGCCAAGUACCAAUACGAACACGAAUGACUACAACCGAAUUGUACAACUACACGACGUCCGCCAAGUUCGACGACGCUCGCCACCCGAACGACUACCGCCGACGCGUACCUCUCCGUCGCUGUGGGUUUCGUCAAGUCCAAUGGUGAACCCCGAAGUCCUCGAAUCCGUCAAGUCCAACAAUGACUGUGUGCUACUAUCAGCGACCUUGAAUGGCUACAAGACGAGACCCUCCUCUACUUCCCCUCCAAAACAUGUACCACGACCAUCGCUGAAGACCCCGUGGAUGUCAAGUUCCAUGUCGUGA